GUUACUAAUCUUGUUU
RNAcentral lists this small RNA (16 nucleotides) under Arabidopsis thaliana (thale cress). RNAcentral's name for it is "ATSL115500". Lineage: Eukaryota; Viridiplantae; Streptophyta; Magnoliopsida; Brassicales; Brassicaceae. The record is from RNAcentral.